This 492-nucleotide ribosomal RNA is filed under the name uncultured bacterium. RNAcentral's name for it is "partial 16S ribosomal RNA". It matches the Rfam family "Bacterial small subunit ribosomal RNA", at positions 29 to 507 of the family's 1533-position model. The record is from RNAcentral.
AGUGAACGCUGGCGGUAGGCCUAACACAUGCAAGUCGAACGGCAGCACAGUAAGAGCUUGCUCUUACGGGUGGCGAGUGGCGGACGGGUGAGGAAUACAUCGGAAUCUACUUUUUCGUGGGGGAUAACGUAGGGAAACUUACGCUAAUACCGCAUACGACCUACGGGUGAAAGCAGGGGAUCUUCGGACCUUGCGCGAUUGAAUGAGCCGAUGUCGGAUUAGCUAGUUGGCGGGGUAAAGGCCCACCAAGGCGACGAUCCGUAGCUGGUCUGAGAGGAUGAUCAGCCACACUGGAACUGAGACACGGUCCAGACUCCUACGGGAGGCAGCAGUGGGGAAUAUUGGGCAAUGGGCGCAAGCCUGAUCCAGCAAUACCGCGUGGGUGAAGAAGGCCUUCGGGUUGUAAAGCCCUUUUGUUGGGAAAGAAAAGCAGCAGGUUAAUACGACGCUGUUCUGACGGUACCCAAAGAAUAAGCACCGGCUAACUUCGUG